CUCUCGCUCAAAGAAAGGAAGAAGAAGAAGAAGAAGAAGAAGAAGGGUUUUGUGUGUUCUCGUCAUGGAAGCCUCGCCAAGCCACAUUAAUUAUGUAACGCGGCACCUGGGAUCCGAGUGCGUUGGUUCGAGUGAACGUCAUAGUUGAUUUUCGACUUUCCCAGGUCCCUCGAUUAACGAUGAGUAGGUACGAGAGCGAUAUGGAUGUGGGGACUCUUAAGAGUUGGAUUUUGAGAGCUCUGAGGCUGCGUCCUUUGAGUGGAAGGACGGCCGUGUCAUUCCCCUUUCUUGUUGGUUUUUGGGGUGUGACACAAACAUGAAAGCAAGAAGGAAAUAUGCAUGAACUAUCCACGUAGUUAUUAAAUUAACCAGAAAAGCCAGAGUUAUAAUA
Eucalyptus grandis is the source of this 391-nucleotide long non-coding RNA. RefSeq lists it as uncharacterized. The transcript is spliced from 3 exons. NCBI's taxonomy places the organism in Eukaryota, Viridiplantae, Streptophyta, Magnoliopsida, Myrtales, Myrtaceae. The record is from RefSeq and is a predicted model, not a curated record.